GAAUUCGCCCUUAGAGUUUGAUCCUGGCUCAGGAUGAACGCUGGCGGCGUGCCUAACACAUGCAAGUCGAACGAAGCGCCUUUUGAGAUUCUUCGGAUGAUUGAUUGGUGACUGAGUGGCGGACGGGUGAGUAACGCGUGGGUAACCUGCCCUGUACAGGGGGAUAACAGUUGGAAACGGCUGCUAAUACCGCAUAAGCGCACGAGAGGACAUCCUCUUGUGUGAAAAACUCCGGUGGUACAGGAUGGGCCCGCGUCUGAUUAGCUGGUUGGCAGGGUAACGGCCUACCAAGGCGACGAUCAGUAGCCGGACUGAGAGGUUGAACGGCCACAUUGGGACUGAGACACGGCCCAGACUCCUACGGGAGGCAGCAGUGGGGGAUAUUGCACAAUGAGGGAAACCCUGAUGCAGCGACGCCGCGUGGAGGAAGAAGGUUUUCGGAUUGUAAACUCCUGUCGUUAGGGACGAUAAUGACGGUACCUAACAAGAAAGCACCGGCUAACUACGUGCCAGCAGCCGCGGUAAAACGUAGGGUGCAAGCGUUGUCCGGAAUUACUGGGUGUAAAGGGAGCGCAGGCGGACCGGCAAGUUGGAAGUGAAAACUAUGGGCUCAACCCAUAAAUUGCUUUCAAAACUGCUGGCCUUGAGUAGUGCAGAGGUAGGUGGAAUUCCCGGUGUAGCGGUGGAAUGCGUAGAUAUCGGGAGGAACACCAGUGGCGAAGGCGACCUACUGGGCACCAACUGACGCUGAGGCUCGAAAGCAUGGGUAGCAAACAGGAUUAGAUACCCUGGUAGUCCAUGCCGUAAACGAUGAUUACUAGGUGUUGGAGGAUUGACCCCUUCAGUGCCGCAGUUAACACAAUAAGUAAUCCACCUGGGGAGUACGACCGCAAGGUUGAAACUCAAAGGAAUUGACGGGGGCCCGCACAAGCAGUGGAGUAUGUGGUUUAAUUCGAAGCAACGCGAAGAACCUUACCAGGUCUUGACAUCCGAUGCAUAGUGCAGAGAUGCAUGAAGUCCUUCGGGACACAAAGACAGGUGGUGCAUGGUUGUCGUCAGCUCGUGUCGUGAGAUGUUGGGUUAAGUCCCGCAACGAGCGCAACCCUUGCUAUUAGUUGCUACGCAAGAGCACUCUAAUAGGACUGCCGUUGACAAAACGGAGGAAGGUGGGGACGACGUCAAAUCAUCAUGCCCCUUAUGACCUGGGCUACACACGUACUACAAUGGAUGUAAACAGAGGGAAGCAAAAUAGCGAUAUGGAGCAAACCCCAAAAAGCAUUCUCAGUUCAGAUUGCAGGCUGCAACUCGCCUGUAUGAAGUUGGAAUUGCUAGUAAUCGCGGAUCAGCAUGCCGCGGUGAAUACGUUCCCGGGCCUUGUACACACCGCCCGUCA
RNAcentral lists this ribosomal RNA (1393 nucleotides) under uncultured bacterium. RNAcentral describes it as "bacterial SSU rRNA". It matches the Rfam family "Bacterial small subunit ribosomal RNA". The record is from RNAcentral.